AUGCCGAGGUCUUCUUCCUCCCCGUCCUCCUGCUCCGCGCCCCGCAUCCUCGGCAGGGCCAUGGCCAUCCUCUCCCUGCCGCUCACGCCGCUCUCCAAGGCCAGGGCGGCGCGGACCCUGCUCCUCUUCAAGAAGCGCCGCGCGCGCCGCCUGCGCCACUACAACUACGCCUACGUGGGCGAGUACCAGUUCUCCCCGUCCGGCUCCCCGCUGCUCCUGCCCCGCCCGCCCGGCGUCUCCGCGUGGCGCGCCAAGCGCAGGAGCCGGGCCAGGACGGUCCUCGCCGCGCUGCUCUGCGGCGGCGGGUGCGGCCUCGGCGUCUUCGACGGGGACGGCGGGAUCGACGUCGCUGUGCUCGACGGCCUGCUUCCCCUGCCUCGGGCUCUGCAGGACGACGAACGGGCCGGUGAGGACGCCGCGUCGUACGGGUACGGCGAGCAAGCGUACCACGGCGAGGAGGAGGAGGAGGAGGAUGAGGAAGUGGAGGUGGAGUGCGAGGGCGGGGGGGACGAGGAGGUGGACGGCCGGGCGGAGCGGUUCAUCGAGAGGUUCUACGAGGAGAUGAGGAUGCAGCAGAGGCGCCUCCUCUAG
This 591-nucleotide ribosomal RNA is filed under the name Triticum aestivum (bread wheat). Its description in RNAcentral is "partial small subunit ribosomal RNA". The record is from RNAcentral. Lineage: Eukaryota; Viridiplantae; Streptophyta; Magnoliopsida; Poales; Poaceae.